RNAcentral lists this ribosomal RNA (254 nucleotides) under uncultured bacterium. RNAcentral's name for it is "partial 16S ribosomal RNA". It matches the Rfam family "Bacterial small subunit ribosomal RNA", at positions 524 to 776 of the family's 1533-position model. The record is from RNAcentral.
GACGAACCGUGCGAACGUUGUUCGGAAUCACUGGGCAUAAAGGGCGCGUAGGCGGCUUUUCAAGUCAGGGGUGAAAUCCGGCAGCUCAACUGUCGAAGUGCCUUUGAUACUGGAAGCUCGAGGGAGGUAGGGGUGUGUGGAACUUCCGGUGGAGCGGUGAAAUGCGUUGAUAUCGGAAGGAACGCCGGUGGCGAAAGCGACGCACUGGACCUCUUCUGACGCUGGAGGCGACGAAAGCUAGGGGAGCAAACGGG